GUUGAUAAGGUUAAGUGAAUAAGGGCGCACGGUGGAUGCCUUGGCACUAGGAGCCGAUGAAGGACGGGACUAACACCGAUAUGCUUUGGGGAGCUGUAAGU
This 101-nucleotide ribosomal RNA is filed under the name Enterococcus faecalis. RNAcentral describes it as "partial 23S ribosomal RNA". It matches the Rfam family "Bacterial large subunit ribosomal RNA", at positions 1 to 93 of the family's 2925-position model. Lineage: Bacteria; Bacillati; Bacillota; Bacilli; Lactobacillales; Enterococcaceae. The record is from RNAcentral.